This 253-nucleotide ribosomal RNA is filed under the name uncultured bacterium. Its description in RNAcentral is "partial 16S ribosomal RNA". It matches the Rfam family "Bacterial small subunit ribosomal RNA", at positions 524 to 776 of the family's 1533-position model. The record is from RNAcentral.
UACGGAGGGUGCGAGCGUUGUUCGGAUUUAUUGGGCGUAAAGCGCGUGUAGGCGGUCUUUUAAGUCUGAUGUGAAAGCCCCGGGCUCAACCUGGGAAGUGCAUUGGAAACUGGGAGACUUGAAUACGGGAGAGGGCAGUGGAAUUCCUAGUGUAGGAGUGAAAUCCGUAGAUAUUAGGAGGAACACCGGUGGCGAAGGCGGCUGCCUGGACCGAUAUUGACGCUCAGGCACGAAAGCGUGGGGAGCAAACAGG